RNAcentral lists this ribosomal RNA (481 nucleotides) under uncultured Acidimicrobiales bacterium. RNAcentral's name for it is "bacterial SSU rRNA". It matches the Rfam family "Bacterial small subunit ribosomal RNA", at positions 523 to 1002 of the family's 1533-position model. The record is from RNAcentral. Lineage: Bacteria; Bacillati; Actinomycetota; Acidimicrobiia; Acidimicrobiales.
AUACGUAGGGGGCAAGCGUUAUCCGGAAUCAUUGGGCGUAAAGAGCUCGUAGGCGGUUCAGCAAGUCGGCUGUGAAAGUUCAAGGCUCAACCUUGAAAAUGCAGUCGAUACUGCUGUGACUAGAGUCUGGUAGAGGAGAAUGGAAUUCUCGGUGUAGCGGUGGAAUGCGCAGAUAUCGAGAGGAACACCAGUAGCGAAGGCGGUUCUCUGGGCCUCGACUGACGCUGAGGAGCGAAAGCAUGGGUAGCAAACAGGAUUAGAUACCCUGGUAGUCCAUGCCGUAAACGUUGGAUACUAGGUGUGGCGUUCUAUCAACGAAUGCCGUGCCGAAGCUAACGCAUUAAGUAUCCCGCCUGGGGAGUACGGCCGCAAGGCUAAAACUCAAAGGAAUUGACGGGGCCCGCACAAGCGGUGGAGCAUGUGGUUUAAUUCGAAGCAACGCGCAGACCUUACCAACCCUUGACAUCCUAGGACAACCUGA